UGUGGGAGCGGGCUUGCUCGCGAUGGCAUCACCGCGCCAUGCCUGGAGUACCGAGUUGUCAGUAUCGCGAGCAAGCCCGCUCCCACA
Molecule: unclassified non-coding RNA, 87 nt
Filed under: Pseudomonas psychrophila
Lineage: Bacteria; Pseudomonadati; Pseudomonadota; Gammaproteobacteria; Pseudomonadales; Pseudomonadaceae
Source: RNAcentral